GGCAAAUAUUCUCUAGCUGUUUUACAUCAUGCUCACAAACGUUUUCUUUUUUAACAGAAGUCAUCUUGGUAUUUUCUUCAGUAUUGUUAUUAAUUUUGCUUUGAAGGCUUCUGGACUCAGUUGUCUUGGGCCCUUUAUCCUCCAACCAAGUGGUAAUUGUCCGCUGUUUACAAGCUUUGUUCCCCACGGCGGUGACGGAGCUGCCCCCCCCGGGCCCCUCUGGGCCGCUGUCGGGAGGCGGCGGCCGCUGCUCUCCCUGUGAGCCGCCGCCGGGGCUGAGCCGGGCUCUCUUGCAGGGGUGGUCCCGCCCGCAGCCCGCGCUCAUCCUCGGCGGGUACGCCUCCCUCCGCCCGCCCGGCCCGCUUCAGCCGCGCGGGCCCGCCAGCGGCCGUCGAGGCCGGGCGGCAGCCGUCCUCCAGGGACGGCGCGACGACGCGGCGGCACCGACUCUGCCCUCCCGCAUCCUCCGGCCCGCGGCGCCGGGCUGCUCCCGUCGCGCCUCGCACCAAAAUGGCCGCCCGCCACGCU
RNAcentral lists this long non-coding RNA (528 nucleotides) under Gallus gallus (chicken). The record is from RNAcentral. Lineage: Eukaryota; Metazoa; Chordata; Aves; Galliformes; Phasianidae.